RNAcentral lists this ribosomal RNA (301 nucleotides) under uncultured bacterium. RNAcentral's name for it is "partial 16S ribosomal RNA". It matches the Rfam family "Bacterial small subunit ribosomal RNA", at positions 509 to 807 of the family's 1533-position model. The record is from RNAcentral.
CAGUCGCCGCGGUAAUACGGAGGGGGCUAGCGUUGUUCGGAAUUACUGGGCGUAAAGCGCACGUAGGCGGCUUGGUAAGUUAGAGGUGAAAGCCCGGGGCUCAACCCCGGAAUUGCCUUUAAGACUGCCGAGCUAGCAGGUGAGAGAGGUGAGUGGAAUUCCGAGUGUAGAGGUGAAAUUCGUAGAUAUUCGGAAGAACACCAGUGGCGAAGGCGGCUCACUGGCUCAUACUGGACGCUGAGGUGCGAAAGCGUGGGGAGCAAACAGGAUUAGAUACCCGCGUAGUCCCUGUCUCUUAUAC